UACGGGGGGAGCAAGCGUUGUUCGGAUUUACUGGGCGUAAAGGGCGCGUAGGCGGUCGUGACAAGUCACUUGUGAAAUCUCCGGGCUUAACUCGGAACGGUCAAGUGAUACUGUCGGACUAGAGUACAGAAGGGGCAACUGGAAUUCUCGGUGUAGCGGUGAAAUGCGUAGAUAUCUGGAGGAACACCGGUGGCGAAGGCGGCAUCCUGGACCGACGACUGACGCUGAGGAGCGAAAGCCAGGGGAGCAACGGG
Molecule: ribosomal RNA, 254 nt
Filed under: uncultured bacterium
Lineage: Bacteria
Description: partial 16S ribosomal RNA
Rfam family: Bacterial small subunit ribosomal RNA
Source: RNAcentral